Molecule: ribosomal RNA, 253 nt
Filed under: uncultured bacterium
Lineage: Bacteria
Description: partial 16S ribosomal RNA
Rfam family: Bacterial small subunit ribosomal RNA
Source: RNAcentral
UACGUAGGUGACCAGCGUUGUCCGGAUUUACUGGGCGUAAAGAGCGCGCAGGCGGUCGUUCAAGUCGAGUGUGAAAGCCCCCGGCUCAACUGGGGAGGGUCAUUCGAUACUGAUCGACUUGAAGGCAGGAGAGGGAAACGGAAUUCCCGAUGUAGUGGUGAAAUGCGUAGAUAUCGGGAGGAACACCAAUGGCGAAGACGGCUUCCUGGCCUGUUCUUGACGCUGAGGCGCGAAAGCUAGGGGAGCAAACGGG